This 330-nucleotide unclassified non-coding RNA is filed under the name soil metagenome. RNAcentral's name for it is "partial contains 5.8S ribosomal RNA, internal transcribed spacer 2, and large subunit ribosomal RNA". The stretch from base 1 to 120 matches the Rfam family "5.8S ribosomal RNA", at positions 35 to 154 of the family's 154-position model. The record is from RNAcentral.
GAUGAAGAACGUAGCAAAAUGCGAUAAGUAAUGUGAAUUGCAGAAUUCAGUGAAUCAUCGAAUCUUUGAACGCACAUUGCGCCCGCCAGUAUUCUGGCGGGCAUGCCUGUUCGAGCGUCAUUUCAACCCUCAAGCACAGCUUGGUGUUGGGACUCGCGUUAAUUCGCGUUCCCCAAAUUGAUUGGCGGUCACGUCGAGCUUCCAUAGCGUAGUAGUAAAACCCUCGUUACUGGUAAUCGUCGCGGCCACGCCGUUAAACCCCAACUUCUGAAUGUUGACCUCGGAUCAGGUAGGAAUACCCGCUGAACUUAAGCAUAUCAAUACGGAGGA